CGGCGGACGGGUGAGUAACACGUGGGUAACCUGCCUGUAAGACUGGGAUAACUCCGGGAAACCGGGGCUAAUACCGGAUGCUUGAUUGAACCGCAUGGUUCAAUCAUAAAAGGUGGCUUUUAGCUACCACUUACAGAUGGGCCCGCGGCGCAUUAGCUAGUUGGUGAGGUAACGGCUCACCAAGGCGACGAUGCGUAGCCCACCUGAGAGGGUGAUCGGCCACACUGGGACUGAGACACGGCCCAGACUCCUACGGGAGGCAGCAGUAGGGAAUUCUCCGCAAUGGACGAAAGUCUGACGGAACAACGCCGCGUGAGUGAUGAAGGUUUUCGGAUCGUAAAACUCUGUUGUUAGGGAAGAACCAGUACCGUUCGAAAAGGGCGGGACCUUGACGGUACCUAACCAGAAAGCCACGGCUAACUACGUGCCAGCAGCCGCGGUAAUACGUAGGUGGCAAGCGUUGUCCGGAAUUAUUGGGCGUAAAGCGCGGCGCAGGCGGUUUCUUAAGUCUGAUGUGAAAGCCCCCGGCUCAACCGGGGAGGGUCAUUGGAAACUGGGGAACUUGAGUGCAGAAGAGGAGAGUGGACUCCACGUGUAGCGGUGAAAUGCG
RNAcentral lists this ribosomal RNA (610 nucleotides) under Bacillus sonorensis. Its description in RNAcentral is "bacterial SSU rRNA". It matches the Rfam family "Bacterial small subunit ribosomal RNA", at positions 96 to 690 of the family's 1533-position model. The record is from RNAcentral. Lineage: Bacteria; Bacillati; Bacillota; Bacilli; Caryophanales; Bacillaceae.